RNAcentral lists this transfer RNA (89 nucleotides) under Alphaproteobacteria bacterium. RNAcentral's name for it is "tRNA-Ser". It matches the Rfam family "tRNA". Rfam says of the family: Transfer RNA (tRNA) molecules are approximately 80 nucleotides in length. Their secondary structure includes four short double-helical elements and three loops (D, anti-codon, and T loops). Lineage: Bacteria; Pseudomonadati; Pseudomonadota; Alphaproteobacteria. The record is from RNAcentral.
GGAGCGUUGGCAGAGUGGUAAUGCAGCGGAUUGCUAAUCCGUCAACCCCUUAAAAGGCUGCAUAGGUUCGAGUCCUAUACGCUCCGCCA